Molecule: ribosomal RNA, 450 nt
Filed under: uncultured bacterium
Lineage: Bacteria
Description: bacterial SSU rRNA
Rfam family: Bacterial small subunit ribosomal RNA
Source: RNAcentral
GUAGGGAAUCUUCCGCAAUGGACGCAAGUCUGACGGAGCAACGCCGCGUGUGUGAAGAAGGUCUUCGGAUCGUAAAGCACUGUUGUUAGAGAAGAACACCCGGUAGAGUAACUGUUACCGGCAUGACGGUAUCUAACCAGAAAGCCACGGCUAACUACGUGCCAGCAGCCGCGGUAAUACGUAGGUGGCAAGCGUUGUCCGGAUUUAUUGGGCGUAAAGGGAGCGCAGGUGGUGACUUAAGUCUGAUGUGAAAGCCCACGGCUCAACCGUGGAGGGUCAUUGGAAACUGGGUCACUUGAGUACAGAAGAGGAAAGUGGAAUUCCAUGUGUAGCGGUGAAAUGCGUAGAUAUAUGGAGGAACACCAGUGGCGAAGGCGACUUUCUGGUCUGUGACUGACACUGAGGCUCGAAAGCGUGGGGAGCAAACAGGAUUAGAAACCCUUGUAGUCC